GAUGAACGCUGGCGGCGUGCCUAAUACAUGCAAGUCGAGCGAACAGAUGAGGAGCUUGCUCCUCUGACGUUAGCGGCGGACGGGUGAGUAACACGUGGAUAACCUACCUAUAAGACUGGGAUAACUUCGGGAAACCGGAGCUAAUACCGGAUAAUAUAUUGAACCGCAUGGUUCAAUAGUGAAAGACGGUUUUGCUGGCACUUAUAGAUGGAUCCGCGCCGCAUUAGCUAGUUGGUAAGGUAACGGCUUACCAAGGCAACGAUGCGUAGCCGACCUGAGAGGGUGAUCGGCCACACUGGAACUGAGACACGGUCCAGACUCCUACGGGAGGCAGCAGUAGGGAAUCUUCCGCAAAGGGCGAAAGCUUGACGGAGCAACGCCGCGUGAGUGAUGAAGGUCUUCGGAUCGUAAAACUCUGUUAUUAGGGAAGAACAAAUGUGUAAGUAACUAUGCACGUCUUGACGGUACCUAAUCAGAAAGCCACGGCUAACUACGUG
This 497-nucleotide ribosomal RNA is filed under the name uncultured bacterium. Its description in RNAcentral is "partial 16S ribosomal RNA". It matches the Rfam family "Bacterial small subunit ribosomal RNA", at positions 28 to 507 of the family's 1533-position model. The record is from RNAcentral.